AACAUCGAAAAACCCUUCCAAUCGAUUUCACCGUCGCAGGGAAAUUUGGAAGAUGGGAAAAUUAUCGCCAUCAUUUCGUUCAAUUCUCUCCACCUCCGUCAUUCACAAACCGACCCUUUCUCCGGCGGCGCCUCCGCUCUCAUCCAAGAAACCAACCCCAAAACCAUCCCGGAAAACCCCAUCGGGUCAGAGCUCCGGCCACCCCGUAAAGCCUAAACUCCCAACGGUGUUCAAAUCGGCUAGUCUCGCCGACGCCAAGAAGCUCUACUCCUCCUUCAUCUCUACUUCAAAAGCCCCUUUCAACCUUCGAGUUCAUAAUUCCCUCCUUCAGUCUUACGCUUCAAUAGCUACACUUAAUGAUUCCAUCUCUUUCCUCCGCCAUAUGUCCAAAGUCCAACCUUCCUUCUCGCCCGAUCAAUCGACUUUCCAUAUCUUACUCUCUACCUCGGAGAAUCGUCCCGAUUCCUCUCUCGCCUCGGUUCGGAAAAUUCUCAAUUUCAUGGUUACCAAUGGCUUCAAUCCUGACAAGGUAACCGCUGAUCUUGCUGUGCGUUCGCUUUGUUCGGUAGGUCUCGUUGAUGAAGCUGUAGAGUUAGUUAAGGAAUUAUCGCUAAAACACACGCCUCUUGAUAUUUAUACAUAUAAUCAUCUCGUUAAGCAACUUUGCAAGUCCAGAGCUCUGUCUACGGUUUAUAAUUUUAUAGUUGAAAUGCGUAGUAGCUGUGGUGCGAAGCCCGAUCUUGUUACUUAUACGAUCUUGAUAGAUAAUGUGUGUAAUAGCAAUAAUCUACGUGAGGCUAUGCGGUUGGUAAGUCUGUUGUAUAAGGAGGGUUUUAAGCCGGAUUGCUUUGUUUAUAACACAAUUAUGAAAGGUUAUUGUAUGGUUGGCAGGGGCGCCGAGGCAAUUGGAGUCUAUAAGAAAAUGAAGGAGGUGGGAUUGGAGCCCGAUCUUGUAACUUUUAAUACAUUGAUUUUUGGCUUAUCGAAGUCGGGGCGGGUUAAGGAAGCCAUAGACUUUUUGGACAGUAUGGCAGAGAUGGGUCAUUUCCCUGACACAGUUACUUACACUUCAUUGAUGAAUGGAAUGUGUCGUGAGGGUAAUGCUUUAGGAGCAUUGUCAUUGCUUAAGGAGAUGGAGGCAAAGGGGUGUAACCCCAAUUCCUUCACGUAUAAUACGUUACUCCAUGGGUUGUCAAAGUCUAGGCUUUUGGAUAGAGGGAUUGAAUUGUAUGGUUUGAUGAAGUCUAGUGAUAUGAAGCUUGAAUCAGCUUCUUAUUCUACUUUUGUGAGGGCGCUAUGCAGGAGUGGUAGAAUUGCUGAAGCAUAUGAAGUGUUUGAUUAUGCAGUUGAGAGUAAAAGUCUGACUGAUGUUUCUGCAUAUUUGUCGUUAGAGAGUACGUUGAAGUCUCUGAAGAAUGCGAGGGAGCAAGCCCAUGCUGUAUAACUGGGCCUGAGCAUUUGGCUGGCUAAUGGAAAAAUUGGUUUAGCGGAAAGCCGGAAACUUGGUGAAGCUUGAACGACAGGUGAAAGCCCGUUAAUAGAGGUUUCUGGCUAAACAUUUGUAGAAGAACAUGGAUCCAAAUUUUUAUAAAGGUAAAACAUACUAUCCAAGGAGAAAAGGAGGAACUACUUGAGUUCACUCCUCGUAAAACAAUCACAAGGAAGGACUUCAAUAACCUUAUUUAAGAGAUCUUUUUUCACCCAGAAAGAAAAUGCAAUAAAGAGAGAUACUUUCCCGCACAAACAUCACACUCAUGCAGAUUCAUCUACUAAGCUGAUCGUCCUUAUGAUAACGAAUAUACGAUCACUCCAUACCAUUGGACAAAGAAACUUAUUGAUGAAUUGCAAGUUUUGAAUAAGAGAAGUAUUAUCAUAAAAUAAUAUUAGAUACUGAAACAUACAUUCACCCUUAUUUUAUAAUGGUCCUCACUGGUACACACUUGCGAUCUGCAAUCGAUGCGUGUAUGAAAUCAGCAGUGGAUAUAAAGACCAAGUUGGCAAUGGAUUUUCAUUUCAUUCAAAUUCAUGCACCUUACGGUGAAGGUGAUUGCUGUGUUGUUUUGUUCAGUGCCCUUCACAUGUUCGACAAAACGCCUGACUUAACCUCUUCUCGUGUCUCCCUCAUGGCGUCUCUUAAGGACUAGGGCCUCGUUGUCUUCUCUCAAUUUGUGAUCAUGUGGUUUGUUUUUUCUCUUCCUUGGUCCAUCCCAUGAACUUAAAAUCUCAAACCCAGUUUCUCCUUUUAGCUAUUUCACUUCGUAAUGAUGGGAAAUUUUAGUUUGUUGUUCCUCUUAAACUGAAAAUGAUGGUGUUACUCUGUUAGAUAGAGCAAGAUCAUGCAGUAGGCUACUUGAUUCUUGUGUUUGAGUUUCCGUAGAUUUAGACAAAAAGGCAAAUAAAAGAAUGGCAUUUUUCUGACAGAAUGAUUAAUGCACAUUGUUUAGGAUUUUUCAUUCAACUUUUUGCCUUGUUCUUUUCAUCUAAUUAGGUAUGAUCGUCUUUUUACUCAAAUUUCUCUUCCCCCCAUUAUGUUAGCCGCAUGCCCCGCCCUUUGUCUGUUGCCGCUGCAUUAGAAAGAUUACUAUAAUCUUGGCUAUGGGAGUAACAAUGUUUGCUCAUUGCAAGCCUAGAUUCAUGGCUACAAUCAUUAACAAAACUAUCUUUUAAGAGGGGUUAGGCACUUUUUAUCUCUAUAUAUAUUCACAUCCCUCUUGAUGGGUGGAGACAAAACAUGGGUCGGGAAUAUUUAGGGUUGAAAUUAGCUGAUUCUCUUUUUGCUCACAUGAUUAGUCAUUUGAUUAAACCUUAAAUUAUGUUGGGUUUAGGCCCAGAUGGUGAAACCCCAAUUAUUGAGGAGGCAAGGUGGCAUUGCUAUCAUUAUGGCCUGCAACUAUGCCAACAUGUUCAAAUACUUUAUUACUCUAUUUUGUUGUCAGAGCUUGAUGUUGGCCAAUCGGUGGAGCAUAUGAUUAAAAGAUUUGACUUAGAUGCUCAGAUUGUAGGGUGAAACUGUUGCAAGAGAAUCAGAGAGAGCUGAAGCUAUGGUCCAUAACGUUGUGACUUUGACAUGCAUGCACAGGGACUUCGUAAGCUUCUCUUUUCCAUAUAAAUUAGCUUAAAAGUUGGUUGGUUUUGCUCAAACCAUUCAAUUCUCUUGUGAAUUCCACCAAUUUACAAAUCAAAGAUGGUGAUCACAUCGAUAUUCACCGGUGCCCACCAACCUAUUAGGUCGGUUAGCUUGCCUACAAGGGUGGAGCUCGAGUCAGAACCGUUGUUACAAAGCCUAAAAUCCUUUCAAGUUUCGUCUUGCAAGGCAAAAACAACACCGUUAGGGCUUGAGGAGAUUCAAGUUGCAUUGGUUGGACUAGCAGAGUUGUAUAACUCUGUUGGGAAGCUUGUUCAAUCUUCUUCCACCCAGCAGGCUCUUGUUCACUAUAAGGAAGGGAAGCUUGUGGAAGAGGCUUUAAAUGAAUCUGUUGUAUUGAUAGACUCUUGCAGCUCAGCAAGAGACAUAAUCCUUACGAUGAAACAAAUUAUACAAACCCUUCAAUCCGCUUUACGUCGAAAGUGUGCAAAUUCCAUUGUCGAAAGCCAUGUCCGUGCCUACUUCAGCUACCGAAGGAAGGUGAAGAAAGAGAUCGGAAGCUACAUCGGCGUGCUGAAGCGAAUGGAGAAUGAUAGAACAACAGACUUCUUUUUAUUAUGGGAUAUACAAAAUCAUGAUUUGUUGCCUGUAAUCAAACUGCUGAGAGAAGCAAGAAGCGUCAGCAUCUCUAUAUUUGGAGAGCUUCUAGCGUUCCUAUCGGCGCCGGUAGUGAAGGGUAAGGCUAGAGGGUGGUCAUUGGUGUCGCAAUUGAUGCCGGUGAUCAAGUCUGGAUCGGGGAAGGGACAGAAGACAGUAAAUGAGAUGGAGAAUGUGGAUAUUGCUCUCAAUUCUCUCCUUGGCCAAGGGAGAGAGGCUUGUGGGAAUGAUAACAAAGCUGAAGUUCAAAUUGCACAAAGAAGGAUUGGAACAUUGGCAUCAAGUUUUGAAGGAAUAGAGAGUGGAUUAGAUAGCAUGUUCAAAUGUUUAGUUAAACAUAGAGUGUGUUUUCUGAACAUGUUGGUUCAUUGAAUUACUGAUCUCAAACAUUAAAUAUUAUUCUUGUACAGUAAUGACAAUCUCAUCUAAGAUGAAUAUAACUAUCCAUUCUUUCAUACCAUGAAA
RNA transcript from Cucumis melo (muskmelon), 4207 nucleotides. It is a transcript of the gene named pentatricopeptide repeat-containing protein At2g17670, with no coding region annotated. The record is from RefSeq and is a predicted model, not a curated record. The transcript is spliced from 4 exons. NCBI's taxonomy places the organism in Eukaryota, Viridiplantae, Streptophyta, Magnoliopsida, Cucurbitales, Cucurbitaceae.